GAUUUCUGGUUGCCCGCGGCCUCUAGGCUUGUGAGUGCCGGCGCGCGUUUACCAUCCUUCUAGAAAACGAUUCUGCCAUUCACUUGGGUUGGGAUCGCGAUCUAGAUCAUUUACUUUGAAAAAAUUAGAGUGUUUAAAGCAGGCUUUUGCUAUGAAUACAUUAGCUGGAAUAAUAAUCUAGGACUUCGGUUCUAUUUUGUUGGUUUCUAUAACUGAAGUAAUGAGAUAGUUGGCCGGCCAGAGGUGAAAUUCUUGGAUUCGGUCAAGACUAACUUAUGCGAAAGCAUU
Molecule: ribosomal RNA, 288 nt
Filed under: uncultured Trinema
Lineage: Eukaryota; Cercozoa; Imbricatea; Euglyphida
Description: partial 18S ribosomal RNA
Rfam family: Eukaryotic small subunit ribosomal RNA (bases 95-288)
Source: RNAcentral